GUAAUUAAGUAAUUAAGAAGGUUUAAGUAAGUGAUAAAAAAGGUUUGUGUAAGUUGGUUAUGUGUGUAAGUUUUUGAGCAAAUAAUCUUAAAGAAAUUAAAGAUUAUACAACUAUGGUUAAACAACAGCUGUUAUUUUUCAAUAUUGUAAUGUUGUUACUUUAAAAGCUAACCUCGGUUAAUAUAAAAACAUCAAUGUAAUUAUGGUGCUAUUAAUGUGUUCAUAUCUUCCAGGUAUACAAGUCUGUAAGGUAGAAGCUUCAAAAGAACAUUAUAUCAAGCUGGUGUUCUAAAGUUGUAUGGUAAUUUUAGGCUUAAAAAGAAAAACAUGUUGGAGAUUUAUUUAUAUCAUUUGUGUUCUAUAACUGGACUUGUUAUCAAUAAGAUAUGUAAAGUUCUAUGUUACUUUUUACACUGAGAUACAAUUUAAAUGUAUUUUUAAGUUAAUGAGAGCCUAAUCUGUGUGAAGGUUUUAUUGCAAAACACAAAAGUACAUUACUACUUUUCUACAAGAGGUUAAAAGCUUUCAGCCUUUAAUUCAUGUUUUAGGUGUGAUAUUAUAUUGUGUUAGCUAAUAUUCAUGUAAACUUGAGCAACAAUUUAUGUAAACUUUGUAAAAUGAUCACCUUCAGAACUAUAGUACUUGAGAUUUAUAAAGAGCCCUGCCUUACUUGAGAUAAGGCUCUGUCCCAUCUCACUACAUGUAAAAGUGACUAUGGAAGAAGUAGGCCAGAUUUCAGUACAGUUAAAGUUGUGUCCAAAAGUAGGUUUUUGCCAAGAUUACUAGGAUCUCAAAUAGGGAAUUAUGAUGUAUAACCCUGCCAGAAUUCAAGGUAGCUAUUAUGUAAGCUAAAUAUGUUUUUACCCUAGUUAGUUUUGUUUUGUUGUUUGCUUAUAGAUGGUUUAAGGAUUGCCUGUUAAUGUUUUAAAGAGGUACUGCUUUAAGAACUCACAACCUGGGUCAACUUAAGAUAAGGAGUUAUCACCUACAGGAUAGAGAGAUAGACAUUAAAGCCCAGUGCUCUUAAUAGAAGGCUGUUAACUUAUUUGCUGGAUGUUUAAGAUUAAGUUUUAAAAUUAAAAAUUUGGCUCUUGCCCUCUGAGUCAGUCUGAAUCAGGGAAUAGGGGACUUCUCCAAAGGGCUCUGCAACUCUAGGCCACAUAACCUCCUGAGCAGGGAGAUUAAUGAGACCAGUGGAGGGCAGAAAGCCGAUCGGUGCAUUUGCUGUAAAGAGGAGGGUCAUCAGAAAGGGGAGACAUCCCUGAUGCUUCCGAGGGAAGCCACAUGGUCAAGCAAGGCCUGGACCCAUCCUAAGGUAAAUGACACUAGCAGAACUGAGAAGCUGCAAUGAAGUUCCCCGAGGACUCCCAGGGAAACUCAGCUGACUGUUGACAAUAGAUAAGAACAAAAGUCAGUUUGACUUGCUUCAUCUUAAACACUUAGCAAAGAUAGUUAAAGCCAAAGCACAGCUGGUCCUAGACAUUUUAAAUGAUAAUAAUAGUUAAAUGUAACUUCCAAAUAUAAGUAAACUAGAGGCUAUAAAAGAGAUUCUCAGACAGGAAUGCCUGAUAACUAUUAAAAGGAACUGCCAGAGUAGUUUUUAGUUUAAGGCCCACAGAUAUUCCUAACCUACACAGGUAGGCUUGGUGUUUGCUAGUAUGGUUAUCCAGCCCUAAGUAGCAAAAUUAAAGGUUUCUCUAUUAGACAUAGGUCAUACUAGUAAAAAGGACAUCUGUAAACCUAAAUGUUAGUUGUUGUGUUUACAUCCCUGACAUUUCUGGCAAGGUGACAAAUAUCCUUAAAGAUUUACAUGCUUAGAUAGAAGCCAUGUCCUCAGCAACUUUGUCGUGGAAACAAUAUCUUAGCUUCUGGUUCUUGGUACUUCCUGGUGGAAAACAUUGUUAGUCUCUGUCUUGGCCAUUAUACUCAUUGGCAUAUUCCUGUGCUGUGACAUUUAUUGCUGCAUCAAUAUGGUUCCAGUAAAUUAAUGAAUUCUUGUUUCUCUUAUAGACCACCUAUCCCUCGAAUGGCCCUCCAGCCUAAUACUUCUCAAUUGGACUUUUAUCAUGGACCACUCGAUAGACCCGAUAUUUUUAAAGGGGGACUCCAAACUGCUUGCCCCACACCGUCCCUUUUCAGCCUGAAGAAGCCAGAAAGAUUCUCUUCGCCCCCCCUUCCUUACAGCAGUGAGGAGUUCCCAAAUUAGAGGGGGGAAUAAAGCCAGAUUUUAAGUUAGGUAGUCAGUGUAGUUAGAUAAAUCGGGGUCUAAUACCGAGUGAAAUCUAAAAUGGAGGCCAUGCUGAAAAUGAUUCCAGGGAACGCAAAACAACUCAUGAAAUGUGAAACCCUUCAAUAAUUGUGAUGCAUUACUUUUAAGAUUAAAAGUAGUCAGAAAAAGGAGUGGGGAAUGUAAGGGUAAAAGAAAUUGAAGUUAAAGCGUAAAAGUUAAAGGGUAAAAGACCGGGUGUUGUAAAGUUUCUAAGCUGCAAGGUCUGAGUUAAAAUGUAAAGGAUUAGGUAUUGUUAGGUAUCUAUGCUACCUGCAAAACCUGAAAUUUCUGUAGCUGUUAAGACAAUGCUUAGAACUGCCCAGUAAAUAUUUCCCCUGACUAUUUGGUUGCUUAAUAAGGGCUCUGUGUGGUCGCACGUAGGCAUUGCAGAGGCUGGACCAAUCAGUUUAAAUGUAACCCCCUCCUUAGGAAUGACCUAUCACUCCAGCCUGACCUGUUCCCGCCAAUGAAUGAACUAAUCAUGUUUAGGAGUUGUUAUUCAAUUUUCCCGCGCCUCAUGAUGAUUUGUUCUGAUGUAUACAAGGCCCUCCGCCCUCCCCAAAAAGUGUACUUAAGCAGUGCUCAGCCCCUGCUCGGGGCUCUGGGCUGCUUUCCCUUCUUGAGUGGGCACGGAGCCCCAGCAUGCUGGUUCAAUAAAUCCCCCCUUCUGCCAAUUGCAUGAGUGGUCACUUGGUGGUCUCUUUCUCCGACGUUUCGUGGAACCCUUACAUUAUGAACAAUUCAUAAUUGUGUCUAAGAAGUUUAAAAGUCAGUAAUUGUGACUGUGUGAGUUGGCACACACAGAGACACAUGUGCAAAUGCCUUCUGUGCAGAACAAAGUUCCCUUUAACUAAAUAAAAAUCAGCAUCUAAAAUUCCAGGUGUUACUGUGACAAAGUAGAAGUCACUAUUUGGAAGAAAGAAUUGGAUGGCAGUGAAGCCAGAUUUAAAGUUAGGUAGUCAGUGUAGUUAGAUAAAUCCGGGUCUAAUGCCGAGUGAAAUCUAAAAUGGAGGAGGCCAUGCUGGCAAUGAUUCCGGGAAACGCAGGACAACUCAUGGAAUGUUAAUGAAGUCCCGAAAAGGCCCUAGGCCAAAGUCCACCUCAAAGAAAUGUUAAUGAACAGCCCCCAGCAAAAAGGUGCUGACUCAGUCCUUCCUGACCAGAUUACUUCUUUGGCCCACCUGUGUCCCACCCCUCGGUCCUUCCCACCUACAUUCCAUCACUGAAGAACUAUAAAAAGGGGAGACAACAUCCCUUCCAUGGAUUCCACCUCUUGGGUCCCCUUCUUCCUCCGGGAGAAUUCUUUUCUGCUGUCCUUUAAUAAACUUCUAAUUUCUAUUCUAAC
This 3614-nucleotide long non-coding RNA is filed under the name Marmota monax (woodchuck). The record is from RNAcentral. Lineage: Eukaryota; Metazoa; Chordata; Mammalia; Rodentia; Sciuridae.